CGCGGUCGCAACGGCACCGUCGCGUCCAUUCCGCCAUUUACUGUGUUUACUGCGUUUAGUGGAUGACUUUCCUGCGACGGGAAUUUUCCGGUGAAAAUGCGUUUUCGCUCGGAUUUGUGAUUUUCGUACGGGCGUCGGGCGUUUUAUUUCUAGAACCCCGCUCAACGCGAUUUUCGUCAUUUUCGGAUUUAAUCUGCGAGUUGGCGUGUGGAAAUUCCAGGAACGCGGGAAAACGAGCGGCGGCGCGCACCGACCGAAGACCGAGGGCAGAAGACUUCUCGAAAUAAAGAUCCGAGAAGAAUACUGAAUAGACGUGAUUUGUUCUUCAGAAGAGAGCGA
Cylas formicarius (sweet potato weevil) is the source of this 339-nucleotide long non-coding RNA. RefSeq lists it as uncharacterized. The record is from RefSeq and is a predicted model, not a curated record. The transcript is spliced from 3 exons. NCBI's taxonomy places the organism in Eukaryota, Metazoa, Arthropoda, Insecta, Coleoptera, Brentidae.